AGGGCCUAUAAGGGAAUCUUCCGCCAUGGGCGAAAGCCUGAUGGAGCAACGCCGCGUGAGUGAUGAAGGUUUUCGGAUCGUAAAACUCUGUUGUUAGGGAAGAACAGUGCUCCUUGACUGGCUGUCCCCUUGCCGUACCCUAUUCAAAAGCCCCCGGUUAAUUCCUGCCCACCGCCCCGGUAAUACCUAGGGUGCAAGCGUUUAUCGGAAUUAUUGGGCGUAAAGCGCGCGCAGGCGGUUCUUUAAGUCUGAUGUGAAAUCCCACGGCUCAACCCUGGAAGGGCAUUUGAAACUGGGGGACUUGAGUGGCAAAAAAGAAAGUGGAAUUCCCAGUGUAGCGGUGAAAUGCGUAAAAAUUUGGAGGAACACCCAUGGCGAAGGCCACCUUCUGGGCUGUUACUGACCCUUAAGCCCCAAAGCGUGGGGAGCAAACAGGAUUAAAUACCCCUGUAGU
This 454-nucleotide ribosomal RNA is filed under the name Lysinibacillus sp. RNAcentral describes it as "bacterial SSU rRNA". It matches the Rfam family "Bacterial small subunit ribosomal RNA", at positions 346 to 794 of the family's 1533-position model. Lineage: Bacteria; Bacillati; Bacillota; Bacilli; Caryophanales; Bacillaceae. The record is from RNAcentral.